AGUCAUUGUGCUGGCAUCUCACCGGCAAGUUUUCAAUAGUGGAACUAAGGUAAGCCUCAUAGGAUCCAUUUAGAUCAUGUUUGAGGUUAGUUUAGGGUAGUUUUGAGAACCUUGGUAACGUUUGAACGCAGGAACAACUCGGGGAAGCAUUCUCCAUAUUUUCUAAGGAGUACCCGUGGGUUCGAGACCAAUUUCCGGCCAACUUCGACCACCACAUGUCGUGAAAUUGGUAUAGAUCUUUUCCUUGUUUUUUGGGUUUCAUUUUGGUAUUUUGUUCGACAUGUUUUGGUCACGUUUUGGGGUUGAUCGGAGCUUGGAAGCUCCGACUUCCUUUUUCAGUCGAAACCAGGCCGUUGGGCCGUGCCAACCCAAAACCCUUUUACCCUGAACUGGCCCAGGUCUUUGGGCCAUGGACCUCGGGUCAGACCUUGGCCUUUUAAGUUGAGCCCAACCCAAGUCCUUAACCCAUGAGUCCCAACCCAGGAGCCCAAACCUUUGGGCUGGGCUACCAAACCCACUGAGAAACAAGCCCAAACCUAAAAGAAAAACCGGCCCAAACCCUUUAACUCGACCCAGUUGGAACAUUCAAAGGAAUAUUGACUUUUUGUUGACUUUUUCAAAAUUUACCCAGGACCUUUCUUAAGGUACUUCGACGUCUUGAAUCCGUUUCUAAUGUCUAUUUUCCGAAAUUCAAUCGUUUGAGUAUAGCUUUAUUAAUUGGACCCUUUAUGUGCUUAGGUGCAUUUAUUGUGACGCUUUCGUCUUCGCUAGUUUACGUGGCUCUUCGACGGUGAAGUAUUUGUGAGUGGACCCCUUCUAAAAUGCAUGCUUUAAUAGUAUAAAUGCAUACAUGAAAAUCAUGAUUCAAUAGUUACGUUUUAUGAAACGUUUGUGUGUAAGCUAGAUUUACAUUAUAUGAUUAUCAUGCUUUACUGAGAAUAUUUUGGAAUACCAUACUUUAUCGAAUUAAUGUUCUUUGUAGUAUAUAUGAUGGAUGACUAUAUACUAUUUAUGAACAUGUUUUUACACCCUUUAUAGUAUAUAUGAUGGAUGACUAUAUACCAUGAAGUGGUUUUGAGAUAUAUUUUGGAAAGAUUAUAUUCAAUGGUUUUGUGCUUAUCAAGUGGUCACUAUUUUGCCUACGGGGGAUGAUACUUAUAUUGACCUACAUGUUGGGUGCUAUAGGAGCCUAUGGGCGAUUGAUACUUAUAUUGACCUACGGGUCUAAAAUGCAUGCUUUAAUAGUAUAAAUGCAUACAUGAAAAUCAUGAUUCAAUAGUUACGUUUUAUGAAACGUUUGUGUGUAAGCUAGAUUUACAUUAUAUGAUUAUCAUGCUUUACUGAGAAUAUUUUGGAAUACCAUACUUUAUCGAAUUAAUGUUCUUUGUAGUAUAUAUGAUGGAUGACUAUAUACUAUUUAUGAACAUGUUUUUACACUCUUUAUAGUAUAUAUGAUGGAUGACUAUAUACCAUGAAGUGGUUUUGAGAUAUAUUUUGGAAAGAUUAUAUUCAAUGGUUUUGUGCUUAUCAAGUGGUCACUAUUUUGCCUACGGGGGAUGAUACUUAUAUUGACCUACAUGUUGGGUGCUAUAGGAGCCUAUGGGCGAUUGAUACUUAUAUUGACCUACGGGUUGGGUGCUGUAGGAGCCUACGGGCGAUUGAUACUUGUGAAGGAAUUGUUCUAAAGGAAGAGUUCUAUAUGCCUUUGGGCAAUACUGAUACCACUAGUUAGUACACUAUAUAUGACAUAUGUUUUAUGAAAGGUUUUAUGGCAUGCUAGGGUUUUCAGAAAACCUAUCACAUAUUAUGCUAUUAGUUUUCAGAAAACUUUGGGGGUUAGUACUUUAUUGAAUAACUGUUUCAGUAUUAUAUAUAUAUAUAUAUAUAUAUAUAUAUAUAUCAACUUGGUCCACUCAUGUUUGUUUUGUGCCCCCUUAGGAUUUAGAAUUGAGGCGUAUAAUCUUGGCGUCAGGGUACUUCCGCAUUGGCAUCUUCGAGUCCUCUCGGUGUAAGACCCAUUCCUUUGCUCAUUCAAUUUUAUAUUAUUUCUUUUAAUAUUCUAGUUAGUUGUAUGCUCUGAACAUGUUCCUUAAUUGCAUAUUCUUUAUAUUUAAAUUUCUAUUAUUUUAUUCAUAUUCAUUGUUCUCAUGCAUGUUAGAAUGGCUUCGUCAGCUCCGGGUGACGGCUAGCACGUGCCUACCCUGGUGUUUGGGAGAAUAUCAAGGUCGAGCAUGUCAGUUUGGUAUUAAAGCGUGGUUUGUUCAGAGCAUGCUUAGGAUCUUCUGUUACUGUAGUGGUGUGUCGGUCAUGACAUCAUUUGGAUGUCAUGACUUUCAGAUUUGUUGUCUUUUGGCACAGUUGUGCAACCUUCAUACUGCAUGAAUAGUCACAUGUUAUGGAAGAAGAAGAAACUUGUGUCGGGAUUUUACCUCAUCAGUGAUGAAUUGGUUUGUUGGAUGACUUUCAACAUCGAAUUGAUAAUAUGCAACAUGCAUUCCUUGGGAAUUGCCGGUAAAGUUAGUUUUACAUUGAAGUGGCAUGAUUUUUUAAUCUCAGUGAGAGGAAGUGGGGUUAAGACCAGUCGAAGAUCCAAGAUAGCAAUGCCACUAUGCGACAUGCGUUCCCUAGGAAUUACGGGCGGAGUUAGAUCUACGUAGGAGUUUUAGGAAAGGGAAAACAUUUGUGGUAUGAGUGGGUUAAGACCAACUAGAGACCCAAGACAGUGAUGCUACUCUGCGACAUGAUUUCAUUAGGAAUGGCAAGCAUAGUCAUGUCUUAGUGGUCAUUACUCAAAACAUUUGAAAUGCGUAUUGGAGAAAGCGAGUAAGCGCUAAUUGUGACGACGUUUAGUAAGUGAUAGUUGGUAAGAUCAAACCAAUGUUCUCGGACAUGUUCUUACUGAGGAAAUUCAUGUGGAUCUUUAGAAUAAGUUUUCUGCGAUUGUUCUAUCGUUAACUUUCUCGCUUACUCUAACCACGAGGUCAAGUUCACUAAACCUCGAUUGUCAGCUGUACGGCAAAUUCUUCGAACGUUGUUUUUGAUUAGAGUAUAGAAAUGUCUACGAUUGCACCAUGGUGUACCGCCCCAAUUGUGCAAGCGUAGUUGCGGAACACCUCAGUAGAAAGACACACACAAAGCUCAAGGGGGCAUAGGUAGGAUGUUUUGGCUUCCCAAUUUUGAGGCACAGUAGAUCAGCAGAGUAACGCAGUUGCAUAUUGUGAUGAUUAACCAAAUAAUCAUAAAUAGUGACUUCUAUUUCUGCAUCUUCACCUUCCUUCACUUGUUUGUUCCUCAAUGUAAAACUAGAUCAUUCUGUCGUACUGAUGUUUUCUACUACCUUUCACCCAAAGCUCAUCUUGAUCAUCCGAACCUAAUUGGACAAUUAUCCAGUGAGACAGUAUUGGAUUGGAAAAGCUGAAAAGAUGAAUCUACUGAACCAUAUAAAUUUGUUAGUGAUGUGAAAAUUAUGUUGACACUCAAAUUAACCCUCUUUUUAUCAAUUGUAGCAAGUAUGUAAGUAGGGAUCGUUCUAGGCCGGGGAUUAGGAGGGAUUGCAAAAUCACUUGGACUUGACUCAAAAACGUAAAAACAAGUUUAAAACACUAACUAGACUCCAAGAAUGUAAAACUAAAUUUUAAAACACUAAAACAAACCAAAAGACUCAAAACAGCAAAUAAACACUCAAAACUGCCUUAAAACCACUUUCUGGGCAGUUUUGGACACUAGGGAAGAAUUUGGACGAAAAUUGGUUUAAACUUGACUCAAGACACCUAAAAACACAAACUAAAUGGGUUUCUAACUAAUAUGACACUUAAAACUAAAGGGGGAUUGAUUUUGGACGAAUUUUGAAAACAAAACAAAACUUUGUAAAUUGAAAAGACGCUAAAACGAAUUUGGUUUAAAUGGAUGGAUGGAAGGCUAGCUAAGGGGUUCAUCUCCACACAUGUCACACUUGCAUAUAAAACGAUCUCUAAUUGCUUUUCAAUAAACCAUGAAUUCCCAACGCCCCAAGUUAAUUAGGUCUGCUUAAAUUAACCUUCAGAUUUUCCUAAUGUUAUUGAAUUGGAUGAUUGCAUACGACAACCCAAAGCAUUCCCUACAAGUCCCCUACAUGAUUGCAUAAUAGAGAUACAAGCAAGAAUCAUUAAGUUCUAUGAAAACCAUAAGCAUUGACGAAGCACUUGUUACUAUGAUUGCAUGAAACUUAUGCCAAGAAUUUACUUAACACGAUUGUGAUCAACAACCUUUACUACUUGUGAAUAUAAGUUCAUAACGAUUAGGUGAAAUUCCCUUAUAUUCUAGCAUCAAAUUCAUGCAUGCAAACUAAGUGUCGACCCUCAAUCAACAUACAAGAAUAAGUUUUAAUUCACAUAGAUAAGCAAAUUGAAAUCACAACUUAUGAAACGCAAUUAGAAGUAAUCAAAUCAUAUAGCAAGCAUAAUCAUGGUUUCGAAUCCCCCCUAGCCAAGGGGGUUUAGUUCCUCAUACUCGCAAAUAAACAAAGAUAAAUAAAUUUAAACAUUAAAACAAAGAUAGAAAACACCUAGAAACGCUCCACAAUCCAAGCUCCUUGAAUGGCAUGCACGGCUCCAAGAGUUCUUCCUUCUUCUCCUUUGCAAACUCACGGCACAAGAGGUAUAUUUGGGUGAAUGAUGUAGUGAAAAUAUGGUAGAGGAUGGUGAAUGAAAGGGUGCGGCAAUGAAUUGUAUAUAUAGGCUGAAAAUCCCAUCUCCUAGGUAGCAAAGGACAAGGUUUUAAAGGCUUAAAUUGCAUAGGAUAAUAACAUCGAAUCCUAUAAGGAAAACAAGUCAAAAACCCAAAGGGAUUGGGAGAUAAGGUGCAGCACAAAGAGUGUGAAAUGAUAAGGUUUCUAGAAACCAAAAUCCUAAAGGAAAUAGGGUAGAAAAUUCGGCCCAAAGUGUGGUUUCUAGAAGGAUAAUGCAAGGCAGAUUUUUAGGCUUCUAGAAAGGUUCUUAGGUGUCAUCUUGGUAGGAUACGAUAAGGUCUUCUAGAAAUCCUAUUUUAAGCAUCCUAAUCUAGUUAGAAACCCUCCUAAGUGGCUGGAAUGUGGAUAGUUUAGGAUUAGGAUAAGAUAAGAUAGGAUAAGGUUUGUUUGGAUAAGAUAAGCUAAGAUAAGGUUAUGGAUGAGGUUUUGGAUAAGAUUCCUUAUCUUGAGCUGAUUCUUUGGCUUUAAUUCUUCUUCUUCAUGUAGGAAACCUUGCUUGAGUAGGAAACUUCAUACAUCUAGGAAUCCAUCUUCAAUUAGGACUCCUACAUUGAUUAGGAAUCCCAAUUCAUUUAGGAAUCCUUUAUCCAAGCCAUUUCCUUCUUCAACUAGGAAACUUUGUAUCUUCAAUUCUUCAACUUUGAAACGCCUUCCUAGCUUCAUCAAUCCCUCAAAUUCGUCCAUCCCUUGUGCUUCAUAUGUAUGAACUCCAUUCUAGCCCAAUUUUGCUCCUGAAUGCUCCAAAUUGCAUCAUUUUGCUCACUUUGUCUCUAAAACCUGAAAACACAUGAAACUAGCUUAAAAGACUAACUUUAACUAUGAAAACACAACAUAAAUGCAUAAGAACUAACUAACUAAGGCGCAUAAAUAUGCUCCUAUCAGUUAGGAGUUUCAAAACGUCAAAUUAUUUCAUGAGAUGUAGGACGAAGUUGUGUGACAAGUGAUGUUAUCAGGUGUGUGACAUUAGAUCUUGAACGGUUAAUAAUCCUUAACGGUCAAGAUAGGUACUUGUAUGAACUCAAGCAGUAGAGUGUAUAUUCAAAUCCAGAUAUCUUGUAGGACUUGUUUUGACCCUCAAAUCCUAGAGUGUUCUUGUAACUUUCUCGCAAGCUUACUAGACUUAUCCAGAAGAGCUUCAUGUGGCCUUGAGGUUUGAGCUGUCUUUUAGUAAGAGAUUGAUGAAUGAUGUAGUCCAGGUGGUCAGCGAAUUGCAUUACCAAUCACUAUCUUCACGUAGAAAUGAAUAGUCACAUCUUAUUAUCUUGCUAUAAUUCAUAAACAUCAUAUCGUACUCUAGUAGUUUUUUUUCCAACGAUAUGUGUUUGUCUCAACCCAUCUUUCCACUGCUUCACUCCAGGACCUUAUUGUUCGUGAAUACGUGGAUGUCGAAACACUUCUAGCAUAUCUGAUUAGUGUGCUCUGGAAUGGUACGACAGUGUGGAUGAGGCGAGAAUCGGAUGAAUCUUUGUACACUCUCACGUUGCAGGGCAAAAAUGGUAUUCGGAAGAUCAAAUUUUCAAUAUGGAAAAUUGUGCACCUUUGGGAAAUUACUGCUUGCUUAUCGAGAAAACAAAUGUGUGGUCGAUAUCGUGGGCAGUUGACUGUUGUAUGGAUAACUUAUUCAUUGGGUUCGUUAAGCAAGUGGGCAGGAAGACCCGUACGGCAGUUGUUAAGGAUUUGCUAUUGUUGGGGCUCGACCUAAGGACAUAUCUGUUCUCGGAGUACGUGGUGUUUCGAGUGCUUGGGUAAGACCCACUUUCAUUUUUGGUUUUGGUUUUCAGCACAAGUAUUUAAAUUACUUAUUAUAGUUUUAUAUUUGUGUUUUCAACAUUACAAAUGUUUGGUCGAGUCAUUUUCACUUUCAUUGUUGAGUCCAGUAUGAAGUCUUCGACCUCUAUGUUAUUACACAUCUAUUUCGGCAUUAUCGUAUUAUACGUACAUAUUUUUUACCUUAUGCUAUUAUAUGUUUUAGUCUUUAUAUCUUUGUAAAGUAUAUUUCUACUUUUGCACUGAUGGGGGAAGAAGGUGUGAGCCUGGAGGCACGAAAGAUGGAAUCAUUGCAACCCGAUCGUGACGGUGUAGCAUUUUCCCUUUUGUGGAAUCGCUCUGUCUUGAUUUCUUCACUACAUAUAUAUAUAUAUAUAUAUAUUUUUUUUUUCUUCUUCUUAUUUUUGAAUAUUUCAGUGCAGCAAUUAAUUGAAAUUUCGAGAUAAAUUUUAUUUAACGAGGGUAGAUUAUGACAACCAGUCCCAGAUUUUACAGAACGAAAGGGUAUUUUUGGUAAAUUCCUUUGGAGUGGGCUAGAUAUUUUUGAAAGGUGAUUUUGGGUCUUAAUUUGUGUGCCUGGUAGGGCCACUUAUGUUUGGUUUUGUCCCCCCCCCCGGGCCCAACUCUAAUUCUCCUCUCCCUUCCUUGUAACCUCCCUCAUCACUCUCUUUCUCUCACCUCUCUUUGUCACUCCCUCCCUUCCCUUCUUCCAACACGCACAAAGACAACCUUCACACCACUGAGCUCCUCACUCCGAGACAUUCACACACAGCCACCACCCCUGGACCAUCAUUUUCCCCAUCAUCCUUCCCCAGAUCACUCUUCCUCUCUUCCUGGCCCACAUUGGAACACAGUCAUUGUGCUUGCAUCUCACCAGCGAGUUUUCGACAGUGCAACUAAGGUAAGCCUCCUAGAAUCCCUUUAGAUCAUGUUUGAGGUUAGUUUAGGGUGGGUUUAAGAACCUUGGUAACGUUUGAAUGCAAGAACAACUAGGGGAAGCAUUCUCCAUAUUUUCCAGCGAUUACCUGUGGGUUUGAGACCAAUUUCCUGCCAACUCCGGCCACCACACGUUGUGAAAUUGGUAUAAAUCUCUUCCUUGUUCUUUGGGCUUCAUUUUGGUAUUUUGUUCGACAUGUUUUGGUCAUGUUUUGGGGUUGAUCGGAGCUUGGCAGCUUCAGCUUCCUUUUUCCGUCGAAACCACGCCGUUGGGCCAUGCCAACUAAAAACCCAAAACCCUUUUACCUUGAACCGGUUCAGGUCUUUGGGCUAUGGACCUCGACCCAGACUUUGGCCAUUUAAGUUGAGCCCAACCCAAGUCCUUAACCCAUUAGUCCCAACCCAGGAGCCCAAACCCUUGGGUCGGGCUACCAAGCCCAUUGAACCUAGCCCUUUUUGCUUCGGACCCAAAACCCAAAUUCAAAAGAGAAACCAGCCCAAACCCAAAAGAGAAAUCGGCCCAAACCCAAGAGAAAUCUGGCCCAACCUUUUGACCCGACUUGGUUGGAACAUUUUGAAGAAUAUUCCUCGAACAUUCUGAGGAAUAUUCCUAGAACAUUCUCUGGACUAUUCUCGUGUUGACUUUUUGUUGACUUUUUCAAAAUUUACUCAAGACCCUUCUUAGGGUAAUUCGAAGUCAUGAAUCCGUUUCCGACAUCCUUUUCCGAAAUUUAAUCGUUAAGUAUAGUUUUAUUAAUUGGACCCUUUAUGUGCUUAGGUGCAUUUAUUGUGGCAGUUCCAUCUUCCCUAGUUUAUAUGGCUCUUUGGUGGCAAAGUAUCUGUGAGUGGACCCUUUCUAAAAUGCAUGCUUUAAUAGUAGAAAUGCAUACAUGAAAAGCAUGAUUUAAUAGUUACGUUUUAUGAAACAUUUGUGUGUAAAUUAGAUUUACAUUAUAUGAUUAUCAUUCUUUAUUGAGAAUAUUUUGGAAUACCAUACUUUAUCGAGUUAAUGUUCUUUGUAGUAUAUACGAUGGAUGACUAUAUACUAUUUAUGAACAUGUUUUUACACUUUUUAUAGUAUAUAUGAUGGAUGACUAUAUACUAUGAAGUGGUUUUAAGAUAUUUUUUGAAAAGAUUAUAUUCAAUGUUUUUGUGCUUAUCUAGUGGUCACUAUUCUGCCUAUGGGGGAUGAUACUUAUAUUGACCUACGAGUUGGGUGUUGUAGGAGCCUACAAGCGAUGAUACUUAUAUUGACCUACGGGUUGGGUGCUAUAAAAGUCUACGGGCGAUUGAUACUUGUGAAGGAAGUGUUUUGAAGGAAGAAUUCUAUAUGCAUUCGAGCAAUACUGAUACCACUAGUUAGCACAUUAUAUAUGACAUAUGUUUUAUGAAAGGUUUUAUGGCAUGCUAUUAGUUUUCAUAAAACUUUGGGGGUUAGUACGUUAUUGAAUAACUAUUUCAGUAUUAUAUAUAUAUAUAUAUAUAUAUAUCAACUUGGUCCACUCUUGUUUGUUUUGCCCUUCCUCAAGACUUAGAUUUGAGGUGUACAAUCCUGGCGUCAGGGCAUUUCCGCAUCGGCAUCUUUGAGUCCUCUCGGUGUAGGACCCAUUCUUAUGCUCAUUCAAUUUUACAUUAUUUAUUUUAGUGUUCUAGUUAGCUGUAUGCUCUGAACAUGUUCCUUAAUUGCAUAUUCUUCAUAUUUAAAUUUCUAUUAUUUUAUUCAUAUUCAUUGUUCUCAUGCAUGUUAGAAUAGCUUUGUCACUUCUGGGUGAUGGCCAGCACGUGCCUACCCUGGUGUUUGGGAGAAUAUCAUGGUCGGGCGUGUCACAACCUCUAGUGUUGAUAAUAGCAAUGUGGAUUGUUCAUUUGUUGUUGAAAAUGAGGAAUAUAUUGUCUAGAAAAUGCAUGAUUGUGCUUUAAUGUAGUUGUAUACUGCAACUCUUUCUCCAGUAGCUAUUUCCUGUACUAUUGGCAAUGUUAGCUCUCAAGAUUUGUGGACCAGACUAAAGGAACAAUUCUCCACUGUUUCUCAGACUAGUAUCUUUCAAAUGAAGUAUAAUAUGCAAACAAUCAAGAAAGGGUCUGAUAAUGUGUCUUAAUACUUACAAAAGAUUAAAGAAGCUCGAGAUUAUCUUUCUGCUGCUAGGGAGAUGAGGAUAUUUUGAUUCUUGCAUUAAAUGGAUUACCUCCCGAGUAUAAUACAUUUCGAUGUGUGAUUAGGGGCCGUGAGAAUGUUAUCUCUCUCAAGGAGUUCAGAUCCCAACUUCUUGCUGAGGAACUUAUUGUUGAAAACAAUGUUCACACUCCAUUCUUGUCUGCUAUGGUUGCAGAUAGUUCCUCAGCUACCAAAGGUUCAACCUCUCAGUUACAUACCAAUUAUGGUUAAUCUUCUAGUCAAUCCAAUUUUUUCUCAUGAGGGAACAUACAAUUUAAUUACAACAAGCAAAAGGGCAGGGGCAAGUUUAAUCAAGGAGCAAAGUUUAACAGAUAGUCUUACAAUGUGUAUCCUAAUUCCACCUCAGGAGUUCUUGGAUCCCCUCCAAUUGCAUAUAAUGGUGACUCUCUGUCAAUUGUGCAACACAUAUGGUCAUUCUGCUUCUUUUUGUGGAUCAAGACCUCCAUCAAAACAUAGCUUUCAUAUUUGUGGGAAGACUAACCAUUCUACUUGGUUUUACUUUCAUAAUGACAAAGGGCCGAUUUACAUUGGUGCUUCUUAGUUUCCUUAAUCCACUGCUUCUUAUGCAAUUUCUUGAUUUCAUUCUCAAGUACCAAUGCCUCAUUCUAAAUCUCCAAAUCAGUCUCAAUUGCAUGCUAUGAAUACUAUGGUCUCUCAUCAAACACAAGGCUUUUCUCCAAAUAAUUCUGAAGGAAAAAUUUGUGAAAACAAGUUCAUUUGAGCAACAUCUAUGCAUGCAAUUAACAAUUAAAGGAGGAAUCAUGCUUGUAUGCACUCAAAAAUAAAGCUUUACCCAUGAAAUUCAAGGCCUAGUAGUUGUGGUGAACUAAGACUCAACUUAAAUCUUAAAGAAAAGAGUUGAGAAACUUUUAUACCUUUGAAGCACCUCUUUGCUUAGCAAAGGAUAUUCACCCAUGUGAGGGCCUAUUUCCUUAGUCUCAUUGCUCCUUGGCUCCAUGGAUAUGGAUGGAGGAACUUUGCUUCUUGGCUCCAUGACUUAUUGGAUAUAAAUGAAGGAAUGGAUUCUCCAAGUUCCCAAGAAAGGGAACCUCUAAGUUUCCAUACCAAGGAGAACAUUGAGGAAGAAAUGAGUGACCUGGGAAGAAAUGGAUGCUAGUCCAUUCUUCCUAGGGUGGCCGGCUGAUAGGAGCAUAUUUAUGCGACUUAGUUAGCUUGUUCUUGUGCAAUUAUGUUGUUAUUUAUUAGUUAAUUUAGUAUUUCAAGCCAUUUUCGUGUGUUUGUAGGUCCAAAGGGCUAAAGUAGCAAGAAAGUGCAUUUUGGAGUAGUUUUGGGCUUGGAAUGGAUAGCACAUGCUUGGAGCAAGGUGGAUGGACGAAAUUGAAGACCAAAAGAGGCUAGGAUUAUGUUAAAGUUAUUAAUUCAAAGAAAAGGAAGUUAAAGAUGCAAUCAACAAAGAAGGAAUGUUAGCCAAAGUUACCUUAUUUUGGUCCUAACCUUUCCUAAUCCUUCACCACUUAAUUUCCAGCUUCAAAGAGGUGUUCUAAACACUUUAGGACACUUAAUUACAUGUUUCUAGAAGGUCAAACCCAGCUAAAGAGGGAUGCCGCACAUCCUUCCCUUUCCUUUUCCCUUGCCGUGCAAGGCAUCCAUUUUUCCUUCCCUUUUUCCUUGUUGCCGCAUAUCCCAUUACCCUUUUCUCUUGGGAAUCUGAUUUAUUACCCUUUUCUUG
RNAcentral lists this long non-coding RNA (11295 nucleotides) under Malus domestica (apple). Its description in RNAcentral is "long non-coding RNA (MDOM_LNC003210)". Lineage: Eukaryota; Viridiplantae; Streptophyta; Magnoliopsida; Rosales; Rosaceae. The record is from RNAcentral.